This 76-nucleotide transfer RNA is filed under the name Aliidiomarina minuta. RNAcentral describes it as "tRNA-Gly". It matches the Rfam family "tRNA". From Rfam's summary of the family: Transfer RNA (tRNA) molecules are approximately 80 nucleotides in length. Their secondary structure includes four short double-helical elements and three loops (D, anti-codon, and T loops). Lineage: Bacteria; Pseudomonadati; Pseudomonadota; Gammaproteobacteria; Alteromonadales; Idiomarinaceae. The record is from RNAcentral. RNAcentral also lists the same sequence under 2 other names.
GCGAGUAUAGCUCAGCUGGUAGAGCGCGACCUUGCCAAGGUCGAGGUCACGAGUUCGAAUCUCGUUACUCGCUCCA